RNAcentral lists this ribosomal RNA (435 nucleotides) under uncultured bacterium. RNAcentral describes it as "partial 16S ribosomal RNA". It matches the Rfam family "Bacterial small subunit ribosomal RNA", at positions 28 to 507 of the family's 1533-position model. The record is from RNAcentral.
GAUGAACGCUGGCGGUAUGCUUAACACAUGCAAGUCGAACGGACUCUUCGGAGUCAGUGGCGGACGGGUGAGUAACGCGUGAGAAUCUGGCUUUGGGUUCGGGACAACCACUGGAAACGGUGGCUAAUACCGGAUGUGCCGAGAGGUAAAAGAGAAAUUGCCUGAAGAUGAGCUCGCGUCUGAUUAGCUAGUUGGUGAGGUAAAGGCUCACCAAGGCAGCGAUCAGUAGCUGGUCUGAGAGGAUGACCAGCCACACUGGGACUGAGACACGGCCCAGACUCCUACGGGAGGCAGCAGUGGGGAAUUUUCCGCAAUGGGCGAAAGCCUGACGGAGCAAUACCGCGUGAGGGAAGAAGGCUCUUGGGUUGUAAACCUCUUUUCUUAGGGAAGAACAAAAUGACGGUACCUAAGGAAUCAGCAUCGGCUAACUCCGUG